Molecule: ribosomal RNA, 565 nt
Filed under: uncultured Glomeromycotina
Lineage: Eukaryota; Fungi; Glomeromycota
Description: SSU rRNA
Rfam family: Eukaryotic small subunit ribosomal RNA
Source: RNAcentral
UUGGAGGGCAAGUCUGGUGCCAGCAGCCGCGGUAAUUCCAGCUCCAAUAGCGUAUAUUAAAGUUGUUGCAGUUAAAAAGCUCGUAGUUGAAUUUCGGGGUCAGUAGGUUGGUCAUGCCACUGGUAUGUACUGGUCUCACUGAUUCCUCCUUCCUGAUGAGUCGUAAUGCCAUUAAUUUGGUGUUGCGAGGAAUCUGGACUGUUACUUUGAAAAAAUUAGAGUGUUUAAAGCAGGCUAACGCUUGAAUACAUUAGCAUGGAAUAAUGAAAUAGGGCGUUCGAUCUUAUUUUGUUGGUUUCUAAGAUUGACGUAAUGAUUAAUAGGGAUAGUUGGGGGCAUUAGUAUUCAAUUGUCAGAGGUGAGAUUCUCGGAUUUAUUGAAGACUAACUACUGCGAAAGCGUUUGCCAAGGAUGUUUUCAUUAAUCAAGAACGAAAGUUAGGGGAUCGAAGACGAUCAGAUACCGUCGUAGUCUUAACCAUAAACUAUGCCGACUAGGGAUCGGAUGAUGUUAGUUUUUUAAUGACUCAUUCGGCGCCUUACGGGAAACCAAAGUGUUUGGGUUC